Myotis brandtii (Brandt's bat) is the source of this 74-nucleotide non-coding RNA. The record is from Rfam. NCBI's taxonomy places the organism in Eukaryota, Metazoa, Chordata, Mammalia, Chiroptera, Vespertilionidae.
GCCUGUGUUGCUCAGUGGUGAGAGCAUCUGCCUGCAGACGGAAGGGUCAUGGGUUCGAUUCCCAGUCCAGGGCA